This 498-nucleotide ribosomal RNA is filed under the name uncultured bacterium. RNAcentral's name for it is "partial 16S ribosomal RNA". It matches the Rfam family "Bacterial small subunit ribosomal RNA", at positions 28 to 508 of the family's 1533-position model. The record is from RNAcentral.
GAUGAACGCUGGCGGCGUGCCUAAUACAUGCAAGUCGAGCGAACGGACGAGAAGCUUGCUUCUCUGAUGUUAGCGGCGGACGGGUGUGUAACACGUGGAUAACCUACCUAUAAUACUGGGAUAACUUCGGGAAACCGGGGCUUAUACCGUAUAAUAUUUUGAACCGCGUUGUUCAAUAGUGAAAUACGGUCUUGCUGUCACUUAUAGAUGGAUCCGCGCUGCAUUAGCUAGUUGGUAAGGUAACGGCUUACCACGGCAACGAUGCAUAGCCGACCUGAGAGGGUGAGCGGCCACCCUGGAACUGAGACACGGUACAGAGUCCUACGGGAGGCAGCAGUAGGGAAUCUUCCGGCAUGGGCGAAAGCCUGACGGAGAAACGCCGCGGGAGUGAUGAAGGUCUUCGGAUCGUAAAACUCUGUUAUUAGGGAAGAACAUAUGUGUAAGUAACUGUGAACAUCUUGACGGUAACUGAUCAGAAAGCCACGGCUAAAUACGUGC